GCCUGGGUGGCUCAGUUGGUUAAGCGUCUGACUUCGGCUCAGGUCAUGAUCUCACAGUUCGUGAGUUCGAGCCCCGCAUCGGGCU
RNAcentral lists this transfer RNA (85 nucleotides) under Felis catus (domestic cat). It matches the Rfam family "tRNA". Rfam says of the family: Transfer RNA (tRNA) molecules are approximately 80 nucleotides in length. Their secondary structure includes four short double-helical elements and three loops (D, anti-codon, and T loops). The record is from Rfam by way of RNAcentral. Lineage: Eukaryota; Metazoa; Chordata; Mammalia; Carnivora; Felidae. RNAcentral also lists the same sequence under 1 other name.